Molecule: long non-coding RNA, 7121 nt
Filed under: Sus scrofa (pig)
Lineage: Eukaryota; Metazoa; Chordata; Mammalia; Artiodactyla; Suidae
Description: lncRNA (ENSSSCG00035018847.1)
Source: RNAcentral
GGCUCAGCAGUAAUGAACCCAACUAGUAUACUUGAGGUUGCGGGUUCGAUCCCUGGCCUUGCUCAGUGGGUUAGGGAUCCAGUAUUGCUGUGAGCUGUGGUGUAGGUUACAGAUGUGGCUUGGAUCCCACAUUGCUAUAGCUGUGUUAGUCGCAGGUCUGAUUCACCCCCUUCACCUGGGAACUUCCACAUACUUUAUAAAUUGUGCACAUGUACCAUCUCUCCAAGCGAUUCCCAUCUUAUAAUCAAGGUACCCAUUUCAUUGCCACAUUCCUCAGAGCUAUUGUUUAAUUGAUGGUGCCUACAAUCAUCAGCGAUUCCCAACUCAGAAAAUAUUCCUUAUCUGGACCCUUGUUUGAGUUUCUAAUCAUUCAUGUCUUUUCUGCUGGAAGAUCUGCUUGAAGAUUUCCUGGUGGUGCUAUUUGCAUAUCUGCGUAUACAUGAUUACCACGGUUGGAAUUAAACCAGAGCACCUGUGAGGGUCACCUUCGGGUCUUAGAAAAAUCAGAGAGUAGUGCAUUGCAUCAAAGGGAAGCGUAACAAUGAUCUGGUAUAAUCUUCAGGAACUUCCUUGUUUCUGCUUUCCAGUUUGCACGAUUCAGACUGUUGCUAUGUAAGCCAAGAGGCAUAAUAGAAAUGUUGUUAAUAAUUCUUUUUUUUUUUUUUGGCUUUUUAGGGCCGCACCCACAGCAUAUGGAGGUUCCCAGGCCAGGGGUCGAAUCGGAGCUGUAGCCACCGGCCUACACCACAGCCACAGCAACACAGGAUCCAAGCCAUGUCUGCGACCUACACCACAGCUCACAGCAACACCGGAUCCUUAACCGACUGAGCGAGGCCAGGGGUGGAACCUGCAACCUCAUGGUUGCUAGUCGAAUUCGUUUCUGCAGCGCCGCAAUGGGAACUUCCUGAACCAGAUAAUUCUGUUGUGAAGGACUCUUCUCCACGGUGCAGGCUCUUUAGUGGUAUCCUCGUGCCAGUAGUAUUGCCUGAGGCACAACAGCCAUCUCUAGGCAUUUCUAGAUGCCCUCUGGGAGGGGCAAAAUCAUUCUCCAUUGAGAACCACUUCUUUAGUAUGUCAUAAUCAGGGACUCGCGGUGCUGUUUUAGCUUUGUAUUGGAGCUGGAUUGCAAAUGUGUCCAAUUCUAAAGGCAUAGCUUUCAGGAUGAGAUCUUUCUAAUCCCAUAGUUCUUACACCACAAUUAAAAAUAAUAUUAUGGGAGUUCCUGCUGUGGCUCUGUGGGUUAAGGACCUGACAUUUUCUCUGUGAGGACAUGGGUUAGAUCCCUGGCCUCGCUCAGUGGAUUAAGGAUCUGGCAUUGCCACAAGCUGCUGGGUGGGUUGCAGAUGUGGCUCAGAUCUGGCAUUGCUGUGGCUGUGGCAUAGGCCAGCAGCUGCGGCUCCUGUCCCACCCCUAGUCUGGGAACCUCCAUGUGCUGCAGGUGCAGCUAUAAAAAGAAAAAGAUAUUAUGGAACCAGAGUUAAAAGUCUAAAUAAUUAUAUUUUUACUCAGCCAAAUAUGUGCAAUUCGGACAUAAUAUGUUAUUUGGGAGUGGAGUCGGGUGGGGGUAGUUUACACUUUGAGGGCCUUGUUUUAUUUGUUUAAAGCUUACUUAGCAGCUCAGCUGGUUUUUAAAUAUACGCUUACGGGAAUCUUAAUGUCGCAGAAGACUCCCACUCAGUUGCUACAAGAAUUAAUAGCCUUUUGGCGACAUGUGGAAACGUAAAUGAAGCACAACCAAUGAGUUCAUUUCUCAUUUUAUAGGAACAGAGAAAAAAGUGCCAUUCUUAUGUUCUUUGCUGAUAGUACUUGACAUUUUAGUGUUACUUAUUACAAUAGUAUAUUGGUCUAUCAUUAGGAUAGUAUAUUGGUUUAUCAUUAUGAUUGUUUAUUGGUCUAUCAUUACGAUCGAUUAUUGGUCUAUCAUUAGGAUAGUAUAUUGAUCUAUCAUUAGGAUAGUAUAUUGGUUUAUCAUAACGAUAGGAUAUUGGUUUAUUAUUAUAAUAGUAUAUUGGUUUAAUGUUCCCUUAAUCUCUGUGCUUUACUCAAAGUUUCUGAAAAUGGGAAGAAUAUGUGUUCUGUCGCAGUUAAGCUAAGAAGGGGCAUUUCAAAAUCACUUUAAUUGUACAUGGUUGUAUCUUCUAAAGUGGUAUUUUACAAUGCUGCUGCCUGGGAAGACUGAAGAUUUCACAGAUGUACUUAGAUGGAGGACUAAUAUAUGACACCAUUAAGAGAACCAUAUUUAAAAUUCCCUUUUGCUAUUACUAUUUUCUUCACCCAAUGCCUCCUGACUCAAAGUGUUGCAUAUAGCUCAAAUGAGAUCCAUAUUAUUUCAUUAAGUAGAGCUUUCUUUCGUGUCACUGUGAUGUCCAGGAAUAUUUAACAACUUCCAGUUGUCUCAAGUCCUUUCUUCUUCAUGGCCCUUAAAGCCCUCUACUAACUGGGCCGCAGUCCAUCUUUUCAGAGGUAUCUUCUUUACCUGCCUUUGACCCGUCCGCAUAUCACAUCCCAGCUGCAAUGAACGAGGUGGCCUGGUGCGUCCUUGCAUUUUUCAGCCUUUAUAGCUCUUCACUCUGCUAUGAUCUCAACCCCUCAGAUUCCAAUCCAUGCUGAAGGGUCAUUUCUUUGAUGAAAUUUCCCCAAAUUUUCUCUGUUGGAAUUAACCUUUCUCUGUCUUCUAUAAUGUUUAGAAAGCACUGCAGUUGUGCUUUUCCAACUCUCUAUGAGAAGGAUUAUAUAUUUUUAAAAAAUUUCCUAUUUAUUACGGACUAAUGUGUAUCUUCCUGUCCGUUAGAUCUCACCAUAUGAAAUUCACAUAUCAUAUCUGACUGGUCCAGACCCCAUUCAAUGAGCCAAGGCCACCUGGUCACACAUUUGAAUAGUGUAGCUACGUCCAAUGGUGUUCAAGUGUCUAAAUGAUUACUUGCAAUCUCUGUACUUGUCCUAUUAUUGUCUGAUAAAAAAUAGUUCCUAAGGUAGUGCUGAUACACAGACCACACCACUCUACCCUGGACUAUAAGCUUCAUGAGGACAGGGUCUAGGUCUGCUUUUUUCGUCAUCAUAUUUCUUGCACCUAGCAUUCUCUGUAUACUUACUCCACAUAGAAGUAUCAUACACAGAUAACAGCAGCUAACAGCACCAAAGUCAUUGAUCACAUUUUUUAGCACCUAUAGGAUUAUCAUGCCUAACCUGUAUAAAUGAGAUAUAGCAGAUGAAAAAAAUAGGAAUGAAUGAGAAUAUCAGACUAAUUUAUUUUAAAAACACAUGCUCUUUAGUAUCAACUCUACUGAAAUGAAACAUAUGCCCAGCCUGCUGGGGCUGGUAUAGCCUUUAUAAGCGAAGCUCACUUGAUCAAUAAUUUAAUUUUCUUUCCCUAGAUAGUUGUAAAAACUCACUGUAUUCAGCCUCAUUUAAGUAAAAUAAAGGGCGCGUCAAAGAAAUCUAAAGCAUUUUGUCUGUUAAAUAGCAAUAUUGAGAAAUUGUCUGAGAGACAAUAUUCCUAGCAGAAAAAUCCUCCACAAAACCAAAACUAUAUUUAAAACCAAAGUGGCUUUCUUUUAUGCAGCUCAAGGGGAUACACUGAAACUCUUAUGUGGUCUAAAAUUGUAUUUUUGAAAAUGAGAAUUAACAUCUACCACUGUAAUUUUUACUGGGAAAAACACCUGGGAUAUGAGUAACAUUUGUCAAAAUUUAAAAUGUAAUAAAUUCAGAAUAAGUUACUUGACAAUGCUCUUUGAACACAGAUUUCCAGCUUUUAGUCGUUGAAGAGUGUCUUUCUGAAGUGGUAAGCUUUAGUGGUAGUUACGAAUGUUCAUGGUUUUCAUUGACCAUUUCAUUAUAUUAAAGUUAACAGCCAAGAAAAACAAGAACAUUUACUAUAUGCUUUUCCCACCAUAUUAUUAGCCACUUAAUUUUCCAUGGAACAUUUGUUAUUUCUGGAAAACAUAUGGCAUAUGACCAGAACCAUAAUUAGUAACAGUUUGAUGUUAUAGGAAUUCAAAUUUUGGCAACUUCUAGCUUCUGCCUCUGAAAUAUAAAAGCAUGGAUACAGAUGCUAAUGGUGCAUUCUAGCGUCAGAUUUUCCGUCCUUUUCCCUCAAACUGUGGUAUUACUUGUUUUGAUAGGGAGGUGUUUCAAGAGUCACACUUACAUAGCUUGGCGCCAAACACAGAAGGUUCUAGAAGGAGGCAUUGUUCUAAGCACUUUACACACAUCAACUUAUUUAAUCAUUGCAAUAACAGGUGAGAAGACAGAGGCAUGAAGACAUUAAUUUGCCAAAGUCACUUAAAUGAGAAAUUGUAUAGUUAAGAUUCACCUCAGGGAAUCUGGCUUUGGAUUCUGUGCUCUUUCAUACAGUAACAUCUUAUGCUGGAUUGCUCUUCUAAGUAGAGAUUUCAUUGGUAGAAUCUUGCUGAAGAGGUUAUUUUCUUGCAGAUUGUUUCCACCUAAUACUUUGUAGCUGGGAAAUGCUGAGUAACUGAGGCAUAUGAAUGCUGAGUAGCUAGGGAAUGCUGGGUAACUGGGGGGACCGGUGAGAAGCCAUAAGUUGGCAGCUUACUCUGAGCAGUUUUCUAGCAUCUGUCAAUCAAAGGAUUGUUGUCUGCAGUUUAAGAUCUGAGACUGUCCUACAGAGUCAGUUGCUCUCAAACAGGACCCCUAAAAGCAGUGUUAUCUUUGAAUUGGAAGGAUGAAUAUUUGUAGUAAUCACUUACGCAUUGUGUUGGAAGCCAUGGUUGCUGAGGCUAACUAUUCACAGAAGUAAGGGAUCCUAUGUUACUAAUGGAGUUAUUAAGGACUGAAAAUGUGACAUUGCUUAGCAACAUGCAUCAUAGCAUUUAAUCUUUUGAGCAGAAGCAGCAAAAGUAACUAGUAUGUUUUACAAGUGUCCUGGCAGGUAUUUUUAGUUUCUUUUCCAACUGGCAAUACUUGUAUCCAUUGUCAUGGUAUUAGCAAAAUGUUUAGACUGUUGGUGGUGGGGGGAGGGGACAUUGCCUUAAAUUCAGAGUUCAGCCUUGAAAGCUGGCAUUAACCCAGCGUAGAACCAAAAGAAAUUUAGCUGUAGGUAAGAAAAAGUAGUAAAUGACUCCUACAACCCUAAAGUUGUAUGUAAGGCUCCUGAUUGUCACCACUGGCAAGUAUGUGGUGGUACUGAGGUCACCCCUGUGAGAUGUGGGAACUUGCUAUGAUACUCUUCAGACUUCUUGUUUUGUUGGCUUUUGUUUUUCAGGCACUAGAAGAGUCCAUAGUAACUAAAAGCAAACAUAAUCCCUCUUCCUAAUGAAAAUUUAUACUUUUACUCAGAACGGUGCGGUGUUCUCCUGUCAUUACACUUCACGAUGUGUAUUGGAGAAUGAAUUCCUAUCGGGAGAAUUUGAUCCGGAUGGACUUCUACCCAAGCCUUCCAUUCUUCUGCAAUGUACAGUUAAAAUAGUAACUGUACAUCUGAGAAUCCUGGCAUUCUUCUACUGUCUUCCUUUUGUCUGCCUCCAAAGUCAUCCUAGCCUGGUGUCUUAAAUUUUGGUGUUCUAACUUGACAUCUGCUUUGAAGGAGAGCAAGAAAUCCCAGGAGCUGGGGCUGUCUUAAAGGAAAGGCUGUCCCUAAAGAGGCUUGAGCAGUUGUGGAGGAAAGGGACCCUCAUCUUCCUUCAUGAAAACAAUGGGGGAAAGAAUCAUUUUAUCCCUAGAACAGAAGCAGCGGUUCAUCCUGGAGGGGGAGAUGUUCACUAGGGAUUGUCAUCCAAUGACUAAUGCCUCUUUAGUCCCAAGACUGAUGGGGAAACUUUUGGGAUCUGAAUGAGCGGAUUGUUCAGUUCUUGUCCCUCUUGGGGAAGGGUCCUGGAAUAUGUAAAUCUUCCUCCUGUAGUUUCAGAUUUCAGUGCUUUCCACACCCUUGACUUUGCUUUUGCUUUGUUGUGUCCUAGAAUCACUAAUGAAUUAUGGACCCACUUCCUUCUGUGCACUUGCUAAUUGGAUCUUUUGGAAAAUUGCUCCAUGCUGGUUUAAAUAAUGAGGAGAGAAUUAAAACGCAGAGAGGUGCGGGGAAAGAUAGACCAUGACCAUUGGAAAUCCAGCAAAUACCAUCCCAGAUGUUUAUUACUCCAAUAAUCCAUGGAGACAGAGGACUGGGGCAGUGGGUUAGAAAAAAUACUCACAAUGAAGUGACAAAAGGGACAGGGUCAGCAAGAAGGUCUGUUGUUGAGGAGAGCAUUUUUAUGGAAGGAAAGCCUGUUUGCAGGCUGUAGAGGCUGGGCAGCUCUGGCCAGCUAAUGCCUCCUGUUGAAGAGGUGGAUGGGGAAGGGGUGGCAGUGUUCCCCGAGAACAGGGGAAGAGCUAGGACUUGGAGUUCAACCUACUGACAUCCGUGUCUGGACUCUGCCUGUACUAACUCUGGGAUUUAAAGCAGAUGACUUUAGCUCUCUGAGCAUCCAGCUCUUCAGCUGGGAAAUGAGAAAUAAUAGUACUUGUCUCGGAAUUGUGGUGAGGAGUAAGUGGGAUCAAAUUGGUGCGUGUCUAGACCACUUCCUGGCACGUAGCAAACUCUCAGGACCGGGUAGCCUUUAUUAUUAUGUAGUUAUGUUGUCAGUGUAAUGAUUUAGUAACAAUAAAGAUAUUAACAACAGGUAAGGUACUUAGCCUGAUGCAACUCAGAAAGGAUUGGCUUUGAAAUAUGCUGUAUGAAGAUCAUUAUUCCCAUUCUGUUUGCUGGCAAGUUUGUUUUCUCUCCUUAUUCCGCCCCCGCUUCUCUUUUCCUCUCAGGGAGGGAGAGGAAUUUAGAAAUUGGUUAAGAAAAGUGCAGCUGUUCAGCUGGGGCCUUUGGUUAUUGGAAAGGAAGCCACCGGAGCACAGCUGGCCAAAUAACCCAUGGAAACCAUUCCCAAAGUGCACUCUGUCUUCUUGUGCUGCCACUUAUGUCAUUUAGACAUCGGUGAUUUGCAAUUUCAGAGUCUAGAUUUUUCUCCCCCUUUAGAACGCACGUUUCCAAAAUGGCAAGGAUUUCUGUCUCGAUCAUUCACUGCUAUUUCCAUAGCAUCUAGAACUAUGCCAUGCACAUAUAAGUGUCCCAUGAUUAUUUUUUGGAGGAAGGAGGGAAGGAAAGGACCAAUGAACUUCACCCAGCAAAGUCU